Molecule: transfer RNA, 66 nt
Filed under: Canthidium sp. DPP-2018
Lineage: Eukaryota; Metazoa; Arthropoda; Insecta; Coleoptera; Scarabaeidae
Description: tRNA-Arg
Source: RNAcentral
AAAUAAGAAAUAAAUUAUUAUAUUUAGUUUCGACCUAAAAAUUUGGUGAAAAUUCACCCUUAUUUU